UCCUACGGGAGGCAGCAGUGAGGAAUAUUGGUCAAUGGACGCAAGUCUGAACCAGCCAUGCCGCGUGCAGGAAGAAUGCCCUAUGGGUUGUAAACUGCUUUUAUUUAGGAAGAAACCCCCGAACGUGUUCGGGGCUGACGGUACUAAACGAAUAAGGACCGGCUAACUCCGUGCCAGCAGCCGCGGUAAUACGGAGGGGGUUAGCGUUGUUCGGAAUUACUGGGCGUAAAGCGCGCGUAGGCGGAUUAGAAAGUUGGGGGUGAAAUCCCGGGGCUCAACCCCGGAACUGCCUCCAAAACUGCUAGUCUAGAGUUCGAGAGAGGUGAGUGGAAUUCCGAGUGUAGAGGUGAAAUUCGUAGAUAUUCGGAGGAACACCAGUGGCGAAGGCGGCUCACUGGCUCGAUACUGACGCUGAGGUGCGAAAGUGUGGGGAGCAAACAGGAUUAGAUACCCUGGUAGUCCACACCGUAAACGAUGAAUGCCAGUCGUCGGGGCGCUUGCGCUUCGGUGACACACCUAACGGAUUAAGCAUUCCGCCUGGGGAGUACGGUCGCAAGAUUAAAACUCA
This 568-nucleotide ribosomal RNA is filed under the name uncultured bacterium. Its description in RNAcentral is "bacterial SSU rRNA". It matches the Rfam family "Bacterial small subunit ribosomal RNA", at positions 337 to 903 of the family's 1533-position model. The record is from RNAcentral.